This 2882-nucleotide long non-coding RNA is filed under the name Ananas comosus (pineapple). Its description in RNAcentral is "long non-coding RNA (ACOM_LNC035923)". Lineage: Eukaryota; Viridiplantae; Streptophyta; Magnoliopsida; Poales; Bromeliaceae. The record is from RNAcentral.
UCGGACAUUAACCUAGUGUCAUUGGACCUAGGUCGAGUAUGUAAACCUAGAGUUGAGAUCUAGGAGAAAGUAUAUAAAACCUAGUGUAAGUGAACCUAGGUUAUGAUGUAAAGAACCACUUAGUAAAAGUAAACUAAGUUGUGAAUCAUAGUGGCAAUAGGACCACUAGAAAGUGAAUAGAAUAGACCUAGAAAGGUCGUCAACAUAGGGUCAGUGAGUAAACCUUUAAGUUGUGAAAUGGAUUCCGGAAUCCUUAGGAAUGGGGUGAUGGCAGAAAUAGAAUCUUAACUACGGGAUUGACGGUUCUCCUCUCCCGGUAGUGAUUCAACGGGAUNCAGCAGCAGCCAGCAGCUCAGCAGCAGCUGCUGCUGGAGCAGCAGCCAGCACCACCAGCAGCACCAGCAGCUGCUGGAGUAGCACCAGCAGCAAGCAGCAGUAGUAGCACCAGCAGCAAGCAGCAGUAGUAGCAACUGCAGCAGCAGCUAGAAGCAGCAGUAGUAGCUGCUGGAGUGCAGCAGCAGCAAGCAGCAGCAGCUUGUGCUGCUUAACAGCAGCUAGCAGCAGCAGCUUGGCUCAGCAGUGAGCAGCAGCAGAAGCAGCAGCUUGCGCACCAGCUGCUGUCAGCAGCCUGCGCAGGCCAAGCAGGAGCAGCAGCAACUUCAGCAGCUUAGCAGCAGCAGUAACAGCUACCUGCAGGCUGCAGGGAGGAAAAGAAAAGAAAGAAAGAAAGAAAAGAAAAGAAAAGAAAGAAAGAAUAAAAAGAAUGAAAGAAAAAAUGGAAUCGAAGUAUUUGCACAGUUUUCCGUAAUUGUUCUGAGGUUCUUAGGCUAAUAAGAAUUGAAUUACGCUAUGUAAUUAUGAAAAUUGCAUUGAAAAGGGGUUUUUAUAGAAACUGACCUUGAUAAUGCACUUUUGCAGGAUAGAAGUCCUAAAGCGAAAUUGACCGCGUACAAACCUAAUUGGGGGUAAAAGAAACGCGCUGGCGAAGUCGGUUCGGCAAUCCGUCGCUCCUACGCGAAGAUAUCGCCAAAAGAAGAUUUUCGGCGUCGAUAGUCGCGAGCGCGGGUCGCGGUUCUCGGGAAAGCGCUAGAAGCGCAUUUCUCCCUUUCCGGCAUCAAAGAAAGGUGGGUUGUGCUUACCGAAGUGAUUAGGUCACUUCCAUGCCAAAGUAGAUCAUGUUUUCAUUUGACGCAUAUAUGAGGAUAAAUGUCGACAUAUGAACAUUCAUGCUAAAUGAAUAUGAAUAUGAGUAUGAAUAUGAAUAUGAAUAUGAAUAUGAAUAUGAAUACUAUAUGGAUGCUGGAUGCAUAGAUCUGAAUGCAUAGAUACGAAUAUGAAUGCUAAAUGCGUGUGAAUAUGAAUGUAAAUGCUAUGUGAAUGCUAUACGAAUGCUAUAUGAAUGCUAAUGCUAAAUUCAUAUGAUCAAAGAUAAGUUAUGCUAAUGCUACGUUCAUGUGAUAUAUAAUUGUUGAACCUGUAAAUGCCAAGGGCAUCUAAGUUAAAUAUGAAAUGUGAAUAUAUAUAUGCUAAAGCCUACAUACUAUAUGAAUGUCACUAUAUGCUAAAUGCUAAAGCCUAUAUAGAUGCCAAGGACAUAUAAGUUGAAUGUGAAAUGUGAAUAUAGAUGCUAUAUGAACGUCGCUAAUUCUAGUUGAUUCGAAUGGUAUGUAAACUAUGAACUUCAUGUGAAAUCCCUAAGAAUCGGGUAUAAAUCGACAACUCCAAUUGAGUAGAAAUCUGGACACUGGACAGUAACAAAGUAAAUGAAAUUGUGCAAAUUAUGAUCCUAGAUAUGAAUAACUAGGAUAAUGAAUAGAUCGAAUGGCAUGAAAUAAACCUAGUGUUAUUGAACAUAGGUAGGACAUAAACCUAGUGUCAUUGGACCUAGGUCGAGUGUGUAAACCUAGAGUUGAGAUCUAGGAGAAAGUAUAUAAAACCUAGUGUAAGUGAACCUAGGUUAUGAUGUAAAGAACCACUUAGUAAAAGUAAACUAAGUUGUGAAUCAUAGUGGCAGUAGGACCACUAGAAAGUGAAUAGAAUAGACCUAGAAAGGUCGUCGACAUAGGGUAAAAGAGUAAACCCUUUAGUUGUGAAAAUGGAUUCCGGAAUCCCUAGGAAUGGUGUGAUGGCAGAAAUAGAAUCUUAACUACGGGAUUGACGGUUCUCCUCUCCCGGUAGUGAUUCAACGGGAUCGACGGUUCUCCUCUCCCGGUAUGCCAUGAAACAAGUGAAGUGAAUCGAAACUACGGGAUUGACGGUUCUCCUCUCCCGGUAGUGAUUCAACGGGAUUGACGGUUCUCCUCUCCCGGUUGAGCUAACGGGUUUGACGGUUCUCCUCGCCCGUUGAGCUUGAGCGACUUAGGGUCACGGGGAUCGACGGUUCUCCUCUCCCUGUGAUGGACCUAGUGUCGCGUGGACUUAAGGCUGAGGUGUUGUGAGACGUCCUUCACCUCGAGCCUGACUUGACGCGGUACUCCGCGGUUGAUUGACUCAAGACCGAGUCGAGUGGCUAGAUGGCUAAGGUAAAGUAACCUUAGGAAAGAAUCGCCAGUGAGUACAGUAAGAAUAAAGAAUAAAGCAUAAAGAAAAGAAUAAAGAAAAUAGCUAAUGAAUGAAACUAGCUAAGAAAGAAUAAAACGGCUACAAGUAAAGAAUGGCUAAUGAUAUAAAGUAGAAUCAAGUAAUCUACUUACAUGAUUUACAGGUAUUGCAUAGUGCAUAGCAGCGAGGCAAGGUAUGGUUCUAUUUGUUGCAUCGUUAAAUAUCUAUCUAUCUAUUUGUUGAACUAACCUACUGUUGCCUCCUUUGGACCUGGUGGGUCGAGCUCUUCUCUUGGGUGGCCGUACCCACUGGGAACUAUAUUUAUAUAGUUCUCACCCCCG